RNAcentral lists this ribosomal RNA (214 nucleotides) under uncultured bacterium. Its description in RNAcentral is "partial 16S ribosomal RNA". It matches the Rfam family "Bacterial small subunit ribosomal RNA", at positions 104 to 334 of the family's 1533-position model. The record is from RNAcentral.
CGGGGUGAGUAACGCGUGAGGAUCUGCCUAUAGGUUGGGGACAACAGAUGGAAACGUCUGCUAAUACCCAAUGUGCCGAGAGGUGAAAGCUUUAGUGCCUGUAGAUGAGCUCGCGUCCGAUUAGCUAGUUGGUAGGGUAAAGGCCUACCAAGGCGACGAUCGGUAGCUGGUCUGAGAGGAUGAUCAGCCACACUGGGACUGAGACACGGCCCAG